This 440-nucleotide ribosomal RNA is filed under the name uncultured bacterium. RNAcentral describes it as "bacterial SSU rRNA". It matches the Rfam family "Bacterial small subunit ribosomal RNA", at positions 954 to 1392 of the family's 1533-position model. The record is from RNAcentral.
GCUUAACGCGAAGAACCUUACCUGGCCUUGACAUGCCACUAACGAAGCAGAGAUGCAUUAGGUGCCCGUAAGGGAAAGUGGACACAGGUGCUGCAUGGCUGUCGUCAGCUCGUGUCAUGAGAUGUUGGGUUAAGUCCCGCAACGAGCGCAACCCUUGCCAUUAAUUGCCAUCAUUUAGUUGGGCACUUUAAUGGGACUGCCGGUGACAAACCGGAGGAAGGUGGGGAUGACGUCAAGUCCUCAUGGCCCUUAUGGCCAGGGCUUCACACGUAAUACAAUGGUCGGUACAGAGAGUUGCCAAGCCGCGAGGUGGAGCUAAUCUCAGGAAGCCGAUCGUAGUCCGGAUUGUUCUCUGCAACUCGAGAGCAUGAAGUCGGAAUCGCUAGUAAUCGCGGAUCAGCAUGUCGCGGUGAAUACGUUCCCGGAUCUUGUACACACCG